GGGUGCCUUCCGGUUUGAUUUGGUGCACUUCCGGUUCAUUCUGGGUUCAUUGGGUGCACUUCAGGGUCAAUCCAAGAUGGCCGCCUCACCGGAAGUGGGGGUCAGGGGGGUGAAUAUGGUAAGCAUAAGGUGAACAAAGUGAAUAAAGUUGGAAUGGGUUGAAUCGGUC
Syngnathus acus (greater pipefish) is the source of this 169-nucleotide long non-coding RNA. RefSeq lists it as uncharacterized. The record is from RefSeq and is a predicted model, not a curated record. The transcript is spliced from 2 exons. NCBI's taxonomy places the organism in Eukaryota, Metazoa, Chordata, Actinopteri, Syngnathiformes, Syngnathidae.